This 416-nucleotide ribosomal RNA is filed under the name uncultured bacterium. RNAcentral's name for it is "bacterial SSU rRNA". It matches the Rfam family "Bacterial small subunit ribosomal RNA", at positions 358 to 773 of the family's 1533-position model. The record is from RNAcentral.
GGAAUCUUGGGCAAUGGGCGAAAGCCUGACCCAGCCACGCCGCGUGCAGGAAGACACCCCUACGGGGCGUAAACUGCUUUUACAAGGGAAGAAGGCCCUCUUCUUGAGGGUUUGACGGUACCUUGCGAAUAAGCCCCGGCUAACUCCGUGCCAGCAGCCGCGGUAAUACGGAGGGUGCAAGCGGUGUCCGGAAUCACUGGGUGUAAAGGGUGUGUAGGCGGGGCGGUAAGUCAGAGGUGAAAGCCCACGGCUCAACCGUGGAAUUGCCUUUGAUACUGCCGUUCUUGAGUCCCGGAGAGGUCGUCGGAAUUCGUGGUGUAGCGGUGAAAUGCGUAGAUAUCACGAGGAACACCAGAGGCGUAGGCGGAUGACUGGACGGGUACUGACGCUGAGGCACGAAAGCGUGGGGAGCAAAC